AUAUUUCCAGUUUAUGUUUCUGUGUUUCUGAAUAUAACAAAGGCAAUACAUUAUAAUUGUUAAAUUAACAAUGUUGCAAUCUACCUCUCUAUUAUCACUUACAAUUUAGGAAUACGGCAGUCCAUAUUGUUACCAUAACAAUGAAACGGAUUCCCAUAGCUACAGCAAUGAAACAGCAGAAAAAAAAUGGAAUUAAAUUUUCUCUACAUUUGCUUUUGAUUACUGGACAUCUUUGCUUUUGCCGUCGUGUUGAAAAAUCACUUUUUGUUAGCUCCA
This is a long non-coding RNA of Sapajus apella (tufted capuchin), 276 nucleotides long. RefSeq lists it as uncharacterized. The transcript has 3 exons. NCBI's taxonomy places the organism in Eukaryota, Metazoa, Chordata, Mammalia, Primates, Cebidae. The record is from RefSeq and is a predicted model, not a curated record.